RNAcentral lists this ribosomal RNA (450 nucleotides) under uncultured Glomeromycotina. Its description in RNAcentral is "SSU rRNA". It matches the Rfam family "Eukaryotic small subunit ribosomal RNA", at positions 569 to 1024 of the family's 1831-position model. Lineage: Eukaryota; Fungi; Glomeromycota. The record is from RNAcentral.
AGCAGCCGCGGUAAUUCCAGCUCCAAUAGCGUAUAUUAAAGUUGUUGCAGUUAAAAAGCUCGUAGUUGAAUUUCGGGGUCAGUAGGUCGGUCGUGCCACUGGUAUGAACUGGUUUUACUGAUUCCUCCCUCUUGAAGAACUGUAAUGCCAUUAAUUUGGUGUUGCAGGGAAUCAGGACUGUUACUUUGAAAAAUUAGAGUGCUUAAAGCAGGCUUUAGCUUGAAUACAUUAGCAUGGAAUAAUGAAAUAGGACGUUUGAUCCUAUUUUGUUGGUUUCUAGGAUUGACGUAAUGAUUAAUAGGGAUAGUUGGGGGCAUUAGUAUUCAAUUGUCAGAGGUGAAAUUCUUGGAUUUAUUGAAGGCUAACUACUGCGAAAGCAUUUGCCAAGGAUGUUUUCAUUAAUCAAGAACGAAAGUUAGGGGAUCGAAGACGAUCAGAUACCGUCGUAGU